AUUGAACGCUGGCGGCAGGCCUAACACAUGCAAGUCGAACGGUAGCACAGUGAGCUUGCUCUCGGGUGACGAGUGGCGGACGGGUGAGUAAUGUCUGGGAAACUGCCUGAUGGAGGGGGAUAACUACUGGAAACGGUAGCUAAUACCGCAUAACGUCGCAAGACCAAAGAGGGGGACCUUCGGGCCUCUUGCCAUCAGAUGUGCCCAGAUGGGAUUAGCUAGUAGGUGGGGUAACGGCUCACCUAGGCAACGAUCCCUAGCUGGUCUGAGAGGAUGACCAGCCACACUGGAACUGAGACACGGUCCAGACUCCUACGGGAGGCAGCAGUGGGGAAUAUUGCACAAUGGGCGCAAGCCUGAUGCAGCCAUGCCGCGUGUAUGAAGAAGGCCUUCGGGUUGUAAAGUACUUUCAGCGGGGAGGAAGGCGACACGGUUAAUAACCGUGUUGAUUGACGUUACCCGCAGAAGAAGCACCGGCUAACUCCGUGCCAGCCGCCGCGGUAA
This 504-nucleotide ribosomal RNA is filed under the name uncultured bacterium. RNAcentral's name for it is "partial 16S ribosomal RNA". It matches the Rfam family "Bacterial small subunit ribosomal RNA", at positions 30 to 523 of the family's 1533-position model. The record is from RNAcentral.